This 392-nucleotide ribosomal RNA is filed under the name uncultured bacterium. RNAcentral's name for it is "bacterial SSU rRNA". It matches the Rfam family "Bacterial small subunit ribosomal RNA", at positions 30 to 422 of the family's 1533-position model. The record is from RNAcentral.
AUUGAACGCUGGCGGCAUGCCUUACACAUGCAAGUCGAACGGCAGCACGGGGCAACCUGGUGGCGAGUGGCGAACGGGUGAGUAAUGCAUCGGAACGUGCCAUUGAGUGGGGGAUAACGUAGCGAAAGUUGCGCUAAUACCGCAUAUUCUGUGAGCAGGAAAGCAGGGGGACCGCAAGGCCUUGCGCUCUUUGAGCGGCCGAUGUCAGAUUAGCUAGUUGGUGAGGUAACGGCUUACCAAGGCGACGAUCUGUAGCGGGUCUGAGAGGAUGAUCCGCCACACUGGAACUGAGACACGGUCCAGACUCCUACGGGAGGCAGCAUGGGGAAUUUUGGGACAAUGGGCGCAAGGCCUGAUCCAGCCAUGCCGCGUGAGUGAAGAAGGCCUUCGGG